Bos taurus (domestic cattle) is the source of this 73-nucleotide non-coding RNA. The record is from Rfam. Lineage: Eukaryota; Metazoa; Chordata; Mammalia; Artiodactyla; Bovidae.
UCCCUGGUGGUCCAGUGGCUAGGACUCUGUGCUCUCAGUGCAGGGGGUCCAGGUUCAUUUCCUGGUCAGGAAA